AGCAUCCUACGGGAGGCAGCAGUGGGGAAUAUUGCACAAUGGGCGCAAGCCUGAUGCAGCCAUGCCGCGUGUAUGAAGAAGGCCUUCGGGUUGUAAAGUACUUUCAGCAGUGAGGAAGGUGGGUAUGUUAAUAGCAUAUUCAUUUGACGUUAGCUGCAGAAGAAGCACCGGCUAACUCCGUGCCAGCAGCCGCGGUAAUACGGAGGGUGCGAGCGUUAAUCGGGAAUUACUGGGCGUAAAGCGCAUGCAGGUGGUUUGUUAAGUCAGAUGUGAAAGCCCGGGGCUCAACCUCGGAAUUGCAUUUGAAACUGGCAAACUAGAGUACUGUAGAGGGGGUAGAAUUUCAGGUGUAGCGGUGAAAUGCGUAGAGAUCUGAAGGAAUACCGGUGGCGAAGGCGGCCCCCUGGACAGAUACUGACACUCAGAUGCGAAAGCGUGGGGAGCAAACAGGAUUAGAUACCCUGGUAG
RNAcentral lists this ribosomal RNA (468 nucleotides) under uncultured bacterium. RNAcentral's name for it is "bacterial SSU rRNA". It matches the Rfam family "Bacterial small subunit ribosomal RNA", at positions 333 to 793 of the family's 1533-position model. The record is from RNAcentral.